RNAcentral lists this ribosomal RNA (253 nucleotides) under uncultured bacterium. RNAcentral's name for it is "partial 16S ribosomal RNA". It matches the Rfam family "Bacterial small subunit ribosomal RNA", at positions 524 to 776 of the family's 1533-position model. The record is from RNAcentral.
GACGAGUCUCACGAACGUUAUUCGGAAUUACUGGGCUUAAAGGGUGCGUAGGCGGUGGAGUAAGUCGGAUGUGAAAUACCUUAGCUUAACUAGGGAACUGCACUCGAUACUACUUUGCUAGAGUAAGACAGAGGUGAGUGGAACUGAGGGUGGAGCGGUGAAAUGCGUAGAUAUCGUUUGGAACGCCAAUGGUGAAAACAGGUUGCUGGGAGUGCGCUGACGCUGAGACACGAAAGCCAGGGGAGCGAACGGG